This 373-nucleotide ribosomal RNA is filed under the name uncultured organism. RNAcentral describes it as "partial 16S ribosomal RNA". It matches the Rfam family "Bacterial small subunit ribosomal RNA", at positions 527 to 896 of the family's 1533-position model. The record is from RNAcentral.
GUAGGUGGCAAGCGUUGUCCGGAAUUAUUGGGCGUAAGGCGCGCGCAGGCGGUUCUUUAAGUCUGAUGUGAAAGCCCACGGGCUCAACCGUGGAGGGUCAUUGGAAACUGGAGAACUUGAGUACAGAAGAGGAAAGCGGAAUUCCACGUGUAGCGGUGAAAUGCGUAGAGAUGUGGAGGAACACCAGUGGCGAAGGCGGCUUUCUGGUCUGUAACUGACGCUGAGGCGCGAAAGCGUGGGGAGCAAACAGGAUUAGAUACCCCGGUAGUCCACGCCGUAAACGAUGAGUGCUAAGUGUUAGGGGGUUUCCGCCCCUUAGUGCUGCAGCUAACGCAUUAAGCACUCCGCCUGGGGAGUACGGCCGCAAAGGCUG